UUAACGUAGACGAAAGUUACGCUAAUACCGCAUACGAUCUACGGAUGAAAGCGGGGGACUCGCAAGAGCCUCGCGCGAUUGGAGCGGCCGAUAUCAGAUUAGGUAGUUGGUGGGGUAAAGGCUCACCAAGCCAACGAUCUGUAGCUGGUCUGAGAGGACGACCAGCCACACUGGAACUGAGACACGGUCCAGACUCCUACGGGAGGCAGCAGUGGGGAAUUUUGGACAAUGGACGCAAGUCUGAUCCAGCCAUUCCGCGUGCAGGAUGAAGGCCCUCGGGUUGUAAACUGCUUUUGUACGGAACGAAAAGGUUUCUAUUAAUACUAGGAGCUCAUGACGGUACCGUAAGAAUAAGCACCGGCUAACUACGUG
RNAcentral lists this ribosomal RNA (372 nucleotides) under uncultured bacterium. Its description in RNAcentral is "bacterial SSU rRNA". It matches the Rfam family "Bacterial small subunit ribosomal RNA", at positions 143 to 507 of the family's 1533-position model. The record is from RNAcentral.